GUUCCAGUUUCUAGGUAACUUAAUAAUCAUUUCAAAAAAUAUGAGAAUUAGCGUGGCCCCUGCGCAAGGAUGACAUGCAAAUUUGUGAAGCAUUCCAUAUUUUU
This is a small nuclear RNA of Perognathus longimembris pacificus (Pacific pocket mouse), 104 nucleotides long. The record is from RefSeq and is a predicted model, not a curated record. NCBI's taxonomy places the organism in Eukaryota, Metazoa, Chordata, Mammalia, Rodentia, Heteromyidae.